AAACAUCGCCUCUUGCAAAACGAACAAAUAAGAGGUCCCGCCUGCCCAGUGACCAUGUGUUCAACGGCCGCGGUAUUCUGACCGUGCGAAGGUAGCGCAAUCACUUGUCUCUUAAAUGGAGACCUGUAUGAAAGGCAUCACGAGGGCUUGACUGUCUCCCCUUUAAGGUCAAUGAAAUUGAUCUCCCCGUGCAGAAGCGGGGAUACGCUCGUAAGACGAGAAGACCCUAUGGAGCUUAAGACAUAAGGCGACCCACGUCAAAAACCCUCCCCCCUUAAGAGGAAAUGAACAAAGUGGGCCUCACCGAAAUGUCUUCGGUUGGGGCGACCGCGGGGAAAGACCAAACCCCCACAUGGAUUAAGACCACAAUAGCCUUAAAACCCAGACCUCCAAGUCAAAUCAACAGAAUUUCUGACCACCAAAGAGCCGGCAAUGCCGAUCAACGGACCGAGUU
RNAcentral lists this ribosomal RNA (454 nucleotides) under Diaphus theta (California headlightfish). RNAcentral describes it as "partial 16S ribosomal RNA". It matches the Rfam family "Bacterial large subunit ribosomal RNA", at positions 1811 to 2464 of the family's 2925-position model. The record is from RNAcentral. Lineage: Eukaryota; Metazoa; Chordata; Actinopteri; Myctophiformes; Myctophidae.